CCUCCCCACAGAUGGCGUGAGGAACGCCGCCAUCCCAACCUCCCCGCCGCCGCAAGUUCUACCUCAUCCGCCUCCGCCGCUGCUGACAUUUCCUCGCGCCGACGGAGGCCAAGGGGCGGACCUCGUGUCCACCGGAUUCUCGGCCCUGGCCACCGUACGGCUGUUGGAGAGCUCUACAGUGCGCUAUUCUCCUCCCGUGAGAGCAAGCGUCGAGGUAGGAAGUCCUGCUCCGGCGGGUUGGCCGUGCCCCGAGUCUCCCGGAGUGGCCGGCGCACCUUCCCAGCUCAACCUCCGUGACCGAAAUUCCUGCCGGAGAAGCCUGCUGCCAGGCAGAUCGCCUGCAUCCUACCGUUUCCGCGCUUCUCCAACGCCCCCGCAUCUCCACAAGCAAGUACUCACAAAGUUUAUGGAAGAAGCUGGGUAGACAAGGGAUUGCGCCAUAUCAAUGGACGAUUUUAUGGCGCUGGAUCACUACACACUCAAAUGGCUCAGAUCCAUUUAAUGGUCAUGUAGGAGCAUUAGAUCCAUAUGGACCUGAAGUUGUGCAGCUCCGUUGAAAGUUUGGUCUCUGGAAUAGUAGUGAUGAAGUGGGGAUUUUUCGAGUAAGGAAGGAAGACCACCAACUGGGAGAAGGUCAUGUCAAGGUCAGAAAGCAGUAGAACCUGAAGACAGUGAGCUGCCGGUGGGGAGUCUGUCGACGCGCUAAGUGACGUGCAGUGCGGCUACCCCGAAUAUGAAGAAAGUGUAGAAACUGGCGGCGCAAGGAGUACUGCGGCUACCCCGAAUAUAUUGGUUUAAAAAUUGUGAACCUUCCAGGGGGCCGAUUGUCUGAAGAAACCUGAAGAAAGACGUGGAGUUCAUUUGGCAUCCGUCUAGUAGCGUACAUGGCGUUGAUUCCCCUGCCAGAGCAUGCAGUUCGGCCUAGUCCCCGGCGUGCCGGCAGCCUGGAUUCUGUGUCGUGGACGGCGUCCUUGAUUCCCUUGCGUGGAGGGCGGAGGGCAUGCUCGGAAGCGAUUGGUCAGCAGUGUGACGACGGCGAGAGGACUGUGUCGUGGACUGCGAUAGUGCAGCAAGGAGACGGUGGCGAGAGGAAGAAGAUUUGGAAGAGGAGAUGUGGACGCUGCUGGGCGACCACGGCGAGAGGAAGGCGUGCUGGACGUCGACUGCUGCUGGGCGACAAUGGCGACAGACGUGCUGGGCGGAAGUCGGCGUUGGCGGGGAAUCGAUGGGGCGGCAGGCUGGCGAGGGCGAGAGGACGGCGCGGUGGAUGGGAGACGGCGAGAAGUCCUGCUGCGGGCGUGCAGAACGGUUAGUUCAGCACAAUCUUAUUUGUUCGUGGAUCAAUGGAGAUGGUUGUGGUCCGCUGGUCCGCUCCCAUCAAAGAUGUGAGCGAUUUCAGGCGUUGGAUAUAUGGUUUGAAAGGCUGAGAUUUGUUGGAUGGGACGCUCUCGCCCUUUUAAAGUA
Molecule: long non-coding RNA, 1464 nt
Organism: Lolium perenne
Lineage: Eukaryota; Viridiplantae; Streptophyta; Magnoliopsida; Poales; Poaceae
Source: RefSeq, a predicted model, not a curated record